RNAcentral lists this ribosomal RNA (253 nucleotides) under uncultured bacterium. Its description in RNAcentral is "partial 16S ribosomal RNA". It matches the Rfam family "Bacterial small subunit ribosomal RNA", at positions 524 to 776 of the family's 1533-position model. The record is from RNAcentral.
UACGUAGGUGACAAGCGUUGUCCGGAUUUACUGGGCGUAAAGAGCGCGCAGGCGGUCGUUCAAGUCGAGUGUGAAGGCCCCCGGCUCAACUGGGGAGGGUCAUUCGAUACUGAUCGACUCGAAGGCAGGAGAGGGUAGUGGAAUUCCCGGUGUAGUGGUGAAAUGCGUAGAUAUCGGGAGGAACACCAGUGGCGAAGGCGACUACCUGGCCUGUUCUUGACGCUGAGGCGCGAAAGCUAGGGGAGCAAACGGG